CAUGAUACUGCUUUGCAUUCACAUAAAUAGGUCCAUCAUCUGUUGUUAAGCUCAUUGGCAGCAUAAUCCGACCCUGAAUAUUACAAAUGAGAAUACAUGCAAGUAAAGAAAAAAGGGUAUGGUUGAAGAAUGGAGGGAAACAUACUGGUAUUUGAGGAGCAUAUGCUGAGAGGAUGCCAUAAUGCUGUUCCAUGGGGGAUUGCAGGGAAAAAAUUGGUGAAGGUUUUUGUGGAUCCACAGAAAUCUUACAGUCACCUGCAAGGAUUUUUCAACAGAAGUUUUCUCAUCAGAGAAGGAUAGAAACCUCACCAUUGUGAUAGAUAUUUUAACUGAGUAAGCACAAAAAAAGGGGAAAAAAGACUUUCUCGAGCUUCAUACUCCUUUCUUUCCCUCUUGUUUCAUAAACAUUGAGAUGAAACUUCUGUAAAUGUUAUCUCCGGUUGUGAUGUAAAAUAUAUCUUUUUUCACCA
Molecule: non-coding RNA, 470 nt
Organism: Cucurbita pepo subsp. pepo (vegetable marrow)
Lineage: Eukaryota; Viridiplantae; Streptophyta; Magnoliopsida; Cucurbitales; Cucurbitaceae
Source: RefSeq, a predicted model, not a curated record